Molecule: transfer RNA, 66 nt
Filed under: Pristimantis cryptomelas
Lineage: Eukaryota; Metazoa; Chordata; Amphibia; Anura; Strabomantidae
Description: partial tRNA-Gln
Source: RNAcentral
UUAGAGAGAUAGGUUUCGAACCCAUAUUUAAGAAAUCAAAAUCCUUCGUAAUCCAUUUGUGCACUA